GAUGAACGCUGGCGGCGUGCCUAACACAUGCAAGUCGAACGAGCAGUCCGGGUCCUGUGGCGCCCGGGUUUGUCACGGGUGGGAACCUGAACUCAGGUUUGGCAUACCUCUACGACAGGGGUGCUAUUACGGGAUCAUGUCUUCGGCCCAAAGAUUUAUUGCAUUUGGUUGGACAAGAGUUGGAUUAGCUAGUUGGUAGGGUAAUAGCCUACCAAGGCGACAAUCCAUAAAUGGUUUGUGAGGAUGCUUAGCGACACUGGGACGGAGACACGGCCUAGACUCCUACGGGAUGCAGCAGUGGGUAAUGUUGGACAGUGGGCGAAGUCCUGAUCCAGCAAUGCCGCGUGAGUGAUGAAGUCCUUAGGGUUGUAAAGCUCUUGUACCCGGGAUGAUAAUGACAGUACCGAGAGAAUAAGCUCCGGCUAACUCCGUG
Molecule: ribosomal RNA, 433 nt
Filed under: uncultured bacterium
Lineage: Bacteria
Description: partial 16S ribosomal RNA
Rfam family: Bacterial small subunit ribosomal RNA
Source: RNAcentral